RNAcentral lists this transfer RNA (66 nucleotides) under bovine gut metagenome. It matches the Rfam family "tRNA". Rfam says of the family: Transfer RNA (tRNA) molecules are approximately 80 nucleotides in length. Their secondary structure includes four short double-helical elements and three loops (D, anti-codon, and T loops). Further hydrogen bonds mediate the characteristic L-shaped molecular structure. tRNAs have two regions of fundamental functional importance: the anti-codon, which is responsible for specific mRNA codon recognition, and the 3' end, to which the tRNAs corresponding amino acid is attached (by aminoacyl-tRNA synthetases). tRNAs cope with the degeneracy of the genetic code in two manners: having more than one tRNA (with a specific anti-codon) for a particular amino acid; and 'wobble' base-pairing, i.e. permitting non-standard base-pairing at the 3rd anti-codon position. The record is from RNAcentral.
GGGCAUAAUUUAAUGGUAAAAUACUAGCUUCCCAAGCUGGCUUUGCGGGUUCGAUUCCCGUUGCCC